UUGGAGGGAAUAGCCACUAAAAAGAUAUUAAUUUUUAAAAGGUAAAACGUAAGUUAUUCCCCUGAUUCCCUCUAAAAGAUUACUAAUAAUUCAAUCCCCGCAAUUCGUUUUUACUCACUAAAAUUCCCUUUGCUCACCACGCCGUCAGUUUGUUCCGAACCAUUGUCGUACUUUCCCUUCUACCCCACCAUCACCGGCCACCAUCAUGAGAUGCAGCAUAAUGCAAUAGCUUACACAAAACUGAGUUGCAAUAGUUUGUCUGGUUCCUGCAUUUGAAGGAUGUCAGUUUAAUUACUGGCAAGAGAAUCUUGAGUUGUGAAAAGAUGGAUCCCCGAAUCGUUGUCGCUAUAUUUAUUGUGCAAGUUAAGGGAAUUAUUUGAGUUAUGAACGAUCUUAGUGUAGUUGUGUGUUGACAUCUUUUAAAUUGUUCAAAUUUGUACAGAGUAGAAUUAGUCGAUCACUACUUUUGUUCUUUGGAUGCAUUACUAAAAGCAUUCACUUUACAUAUCAUUUGUGCUUGUA
This is a non-coding RNA of Nicotiana tabacum (common tobacco), 522 nucleotides long. The record is from RefSeq and is a predicted model, not a curated record. NCBI's taxonomy places the organism in Eukaryota, Viridiplantae, Streptophyta, Magnoliopsida, Solanales, Solanaceae.